GUGCCAGCAGCCGCGGUAAUACAUAGGGGUCAAGCGUUGUCCGGAUUUAUUGGGCGUAAAGAGCUCGUAGGCGGUUCAACAAGUCGGUCGUAAAAGUUUAGGGCUCAACCCUAAAAUGUCGAUCGAUACUGUUGUGACUAGGAUACGGUAGAGGUGAAUGGAAUUCCGAGUGUAGCGGUGAAAUGCGUAGAUAUCUGGAGGAACAUCAGUGGCGAAGGCGACUCCCUGGCCAAAGACUGACGCUCAUGUGCGAAAGUGUGGGUAGCGAACAGGAUUAGAUA
This 281-nucleotide ribosomal RNA is filed under the name uncultured bacterium. RNAcentral's name for it is "partial 16S ribosomal RNA". It matches the Rfam family "Bacterial small subunit ribosomal RNA", at positions 505 to 784 of the family's 1533-position model. The record is from RNAcentral.